This 79-nucleotide transfer RNA is filed under the name Roseovarius indicus. RNAcentral describes it as "tRNA-Arg". The record is from RNAcentral. Lineage: Bacteria; Pseudomonadati; Pseudomonadota; Alphaproteobacteria; Rhodobacterales; Roseobacteraceae.
UUUCGGGCUGGUCGGGCGGGGUUUCGGUGGUUUCGGCCUGCCGCACCUCCUCCGGACGGUUCUGCGCCGUCUCGGAGGG